This is a transfer RNA of Kockovaella imperatae, 89 nucleotides long. It matches the Rfam family "tRNA". Rfam says of the family: Transfer RNA (tRNA) molecules are approximately 80 nucleotides in length. Their secondary structure includes four short double-helical elements and three loops (D, anti-codon, and T loops). NCBI's taxonomy places the organism in Eukaryota, Fungi, Basidiomycota, Tremellomycetes, Tremellales, Cuniculitremaceae. The record is from Rfam.
GGGCUAAUUGUGCAGGUGGUAGUGCGCUUCAUUUGCAUUUCCGGAUUGCAACGUUGAAGAGGUCCUUGGUUCGAGUCCGAGUUAGUCCA